RNAcentral lists this long non-coding RNA (1030 nucleotides) under Macaca fascicularis (crab-eating macaque). RNAcentral's name for it is "lncRNA (ENSMFAG00000052866.1)". The record is from RNAcentral. Lineage: Eukaryota; Metazoa; Chordata; Mammalia; Primates; Cercopithecidae.
CCCACACAGGCAGGCAGUCCACCCCAGAGGUAGCGGUUCCUGCCCUAGAAAGGGUGGGCCUAGGAGACCCAAACCCCAGAAGGAGGGAGGGUGGUGGGCGCCCUGCAUCCAGACUCAGCGAGACGUGAAGAUUCUGUAACCCUCAGUGACCCUGGUUCCAGGUGGAAGCUGGCGCCUCUGUUAUCAGUGGCUCCAUCGGGGACUGGACCCAGCCCAGACUUCUUGGUCUGACAAUUGCCCACAGAUCAGCCAGGGGAUAGUCAGUCCUCUCACUACCUAGGAGUGUCUGAAGAUGCGCCCCUGCCCUGCCUAUGCUCGGCAACUCGCCAAAAGUGGCCGCUCCAUUGCCCCAAGUAGGGGCCCGCCGGUCCCGCAGGCCUAAGCAGCCAAAGCUUCCCAGAGCCCCUCCUCUCAGAGGGGCUGAAGCCCGUCAGCCAGAACAUAGGUUCAGGUGCCCAGUCCUGGAGCGGCUUCCAGGGCGCGGAGGCUGCCCCUGGGGGCGCCCAGAGCCCGGGAACCAGCGCCGCCUAUGAGCAGGUCUUCCUCCUCCUCAUCCUCAAAGGCCCGCGCUGGGCGCCGGGGCGGAGGCCGGUGCGUGGGCUCGUCGCGCUCCGCCAUGCGCUCGACGGCGCCUUCGCCCACGAGGAACACGGUGUCCGCGACGCGCGGAGGCCCGGUGACGGGGUUGUGGUCGUAGGAGAAGACGCGCAGCGCGCGCAGCGGUGCAGGUCGGGGAAGCCGCCCAGGCGGUUGCGGUCGAGGUCGAGGAUGUGCAGGCGGCCCAUGCGCAGCAGCGCGGGCGGGAACUCCUCGAAGCGGUUGCCGUAGAGCCAGAGGCCGCGCAAGCCCGUCAUGCGCGGCAGCUCCGCCGGCAGCGCGCGCAGCCGGUUGUCGCCCAUCUGGAGCGACUGCAGCGCCACCAGGCGCAGCAGCGGCCGCGGGAAGCGCCGCAAGAAGUUGCCCUCGAUCCAGAGGCAGCGCAGGCUCUGCAACUGCGCGAAGUCGGCGGGCAGCGCCAGCAGCCGGUUGC